AUACGUAGGGGGCGAGCGUUGUCCGGAAUGACUGGGCGUAAAGGGCGCGUAGGCGGCUCUGUAAGUCCGGAGUGAAAGUCCAGCUUUUAAGGUUGGAAUUGCUUUGGAAACUGUGGGGCUUGAGUGCGGAAGAGGUAAGUGGAAUUCCCAGUGUAGCGGUGAAAUGCGUAGAGAUUGGGAGGAACACCAGUGGCGAAGGCGACUUACUGGGCCGUAACUGACGCUGAUGCGCGAAAGCGUGGGGAGC
RNAcentral lists this ribosomal RNA (247 nucleotides) under uncultured bacterium. RNAcentral's name for it is "partial 16S ribosomal RNA". It matches the Rfam family "Bacterial small subunit ribosomal RNA", at positions 523 to 769 of the family's 1533-position model. The record is from RNAcentral.